RNAcentral lists this ribosomal RNA (972 nucleotides) under uncultured bacterium CA1-114. RNAcentral's name for it is "bacterial SSU rRNA". It matches the Rfam family "Bacterial small subunit ribosomal RNA", at positions 523 to 1482 of the family's 1533-position model. The record is from RNAcentral.
AUACGUAGGGUGCGAACAUUAUCCGGAUUUAUUGGGCGUAAAGAGAUGCGUAGGCUUUCUAGAAAGUCUGUUGUCAAAGCCCGGGGCUCAACCCCGGAUCGGCAUCAGAGACUCCUAGAAUCGAGGCAGAGAGAGGCGAAUGGAAUUCCCGGUGGAGUGGUGAAAUACGUUGAUAUCGGGAGGAACACCAGUGGCGUAGGCGAUUCGCUGGCUCUGUUCUGACGCUAAGGCUCGAAAGCGUGGGUAGCAAAACGGAUUAGAUACCCGUGUAGUCCACGCCGUAAACGAUGGAUGCUAGCCGUUCGACACAACUGUAUUUUUUCUUCGGAAUUAGUACGGAAGUGUUGUGUGGCGCAGCUAACGCGAUAAGCAUCCCGCCUGGGGAGUACGGCCGCAAGGCUAAAACUUAAACGAAUUGGCGGGCACCCGCACAAGCGGAGGAGCGCGUGGUUUAAUUCGAUGGCAAUCGAAGAACCUUACCAAGGUUUGACAUGCCGGUCAUAUUCUUUCGAAAGAUAGAAGUCAGUUCGGCUGGACCGUGCACAGGUGAUGCAUGGCCGUCGUCAGCUCGUGUCGUGAGAUGUAGGGUUAAGUCCCGAAACGAGCGCAACCCCUAUCCCGUGUUACAAGUGUCUCGGGAGACUGCAGUGGUAAAACAUUGAGGAAGGUGGGGAUGACGUCUGGUCCGUAUGUCCCUUAUAUCUUGGGCGACACACGCGCUACAAUGGCAGGUACAACAGGCAGCCAAGCCGUAAGGCGGAGCUAAUCCUCUAAAACCUGUCUCAGUCCGGAUUGAGGUCUGUAACUCGACCUCAUGAAGUUGGAUUCGCUAGUAAUCGCAGAUCAGCCAUGCUGCGGUGAAUACGUUCUCGGGUGUUGCACACACCGCCCGUCAAAGCAUGGAAGCAGGUAAUACCUAAAGGUGCUCUGAUUUAUUUCGGGGUGACUAGGGUAAUAUUUGUGACUGGGCUU